GUGAAUCAUCAAAUCUUUGAACGCAAAUUGCACUCUCCUCGGAGAGUAUGCCUGUUUGAGGGUCAGCCUAAAAAAAAUCGACAUGUUUGCUGUUAGGCGGUAACAUUCGUGGGAAAUUGGGUCAUCUUAAUCCUUUUGGUUUAAGCGGCUUAAAAUUUUCUUUACGAUUCCAAUAACUUGUCUAAGUUUUUAUUUUCUUAUACUUUUAGUGUAUCUAUCUUUAUUAGAUGUGUCCUUUGUAUCGUAUCUCG
RNAcentral lists this unclassified non-coding RNA (251 nucleotides) under Glomus sp. RNAcentral's name for it is "partial contains 5.8S ribosomal RNA and internal transcribed spacer 2". The stretch from base 1 to 65 matches the Rfam family "5.8S ribosomal RNA", at positions 84 to 154 of the family's 154-position model. Lineage: Eukaryota; Fungi; Glomeromycota; Glomeromycetes; Glomerales; Glomeraceae. The record is from RNAcentral.